This is a long non-coding RNA of Etheostoma cragini (Arkansas darter), 107 nucleotides long. RefSeq lists it as uncharacterized. The record is from RefSeq and is a predicted model, not a curated record. The transcript is spliced from 3 exons. NCBI's taxonomy places the organism in Eukaryota, Metazoa, Chordata, Actinopteri, Perciformes, Percidae.
AUUGGAUAUCAACAGCUUUUUGGAUAUGCACAAACAUCACAAUGGCAACCUUUCUCAAGAAGGUGGUUGAAGGAAUGAAAGAGGAAGACUGUCUACCACACUCCCAA